UGAGGUGCCAGGUAAAAGGACCUCCCUGUAAACAGGGAUCAAGGUCCACCCCUUCCCAGCAAAAAGGCUUGAGGUGUCCGUUAGGUAGCUAAGGCUGAGGAACCCCCCUUUAAGAAGGGUAGCGGUCUCUCUGUGGCUUUCAGCUCUUUAGGAGCUAGGCUUUAAAAUGCCCCGUGCCAUUGACCUCUCCCUGUAAGAAGGGUUCAGGUCUCCCCUUUUUAGCUUCUCCUGGGCCGCUGGCACUUGCUGGGCAAAGAGACCGCCCUCUCCUGAGGGAAUGGAGGUCUCUCGUUUUCAGCGCUUUAGCCUCUGCUCCGUUGUAAUGCCCCUGGCUUGAGGACCACCCUGUAAGGAGGGUUUGGGCCUCCUUUGCCAUGCUGCUUUCGCUACAGGUCACUUGGACAUGCCAGGCAAAAUGACCGCCCUGUAAGCAGGGUGUAAGGUCUGCUCCCUCUCCCUCUUAAGCCAGUGGGGCCUUUCGGUGCCUGUGGCUGAGGGACCCCCCUUUAAGAAGGGUAGCGGUCUUUGUGUGGCAUUCAGCUCGUUAGCAGCUAGGCUUUAAAAUUCCCUGUGCCGUUGACCUCUCCCUGUCAGAAGGGUUCAGGUGUCCCCUUUUUAGCUUCUCUUGGGCCGCUGGCACUUGCAGGGCAAAGAGACCACCCUCUCCUGAGGGGAUGGAGGUCUCUCCCUUUCUGCACUUCAGGGUUUGGCCCAGGCUAAAGGACCAUCCUGUAAGGAGGGUUUGGGUCUCCUUUGCCAUGCUGCAUUCGCCACAGGUCACUUGGACAUGCCAGGCAAAAUGACCGCCCUAUAAGCAGGGUGUAAGGUCUUCUCUCUCUCCCUCUUAAGUCAGUGGGGCCUUUCCGUGCCUGUGGCUGAGGGAUCCCGCUUUAAGAAGGGUUGAGCGUCUCUUUUCUCUUUCUCCUCGUAAACUGCUCUAGAAAUCAUUUCGACUUGGCUUUUUUGACAUUUGCAGUCAAAUCGUAUUUGUGACCUCUUGAAUUCAAGCCGGGGUCCCAUGGAACAUGGUGUGGCGAAGGGGCGGCUGUAAGGGGAUGGUGGAGGCCGUGAGAAAUUGGACGCUUUUUUGAAAAAAGCCAAGAAACCCCCCAAAACAAUCCAAAUCUUUCCAGGUCUGGAAAUGAACUGGUGAGGUGGGGGGCUCCUUUCAGCUCCUCACUUCCAUGCAAUCCUUCCUCAUUUCCUCUUGCCCUGCCCAACUGCCGCUGCCCCCCAACCUCAGCUUGGACCCUUUCUUUUAUUCUGCGCAGGAAACAUACUGCUGGCUGUGGUAGUGUAAUUGUCUUGAUUGGGAAUGGUCCGUUCGUGGUGUCCCAAUUCCAGGCCUUUGCUCUCUUUGCUGGUAGACUGAGGCUAUAUUUUUGGACUGUCUUUGAAGGGAUUGAAAGAGCUGUGCUUCAUGACAGCUGUUGGUGAUCUGGUGGUAUAGCUACAGGUGUCGUGGUCUUGCAUCUUGCACGUGGGUGCUCCUAACCCUACUAACAGGACUGCGUAAGAAGUAAGGGAUGUCUGUUUUGGAAAAGGGUAGGGGGUUCACAGUUGUAAUGUUCUUGGUGGGGUAGACAGGUAAGUCGGGAAGGGUGUUGGUGAGGGAUGGAGGAUUCCUUGGUCAUGGGAGGCUCCCUUACCUGUUCAUUUCCAGACAUUGUCACCUUUGUGACUCCUUUCCCCUUGUUUCAAGGAAGUAGGAUUUUUGUGAAGGAAGGGUGACCGCCCUGUGAUCGGGGUUCGGGUCGCUUUCCUUUCCCCCUCUUUGCAUUGGCCCUCUUAAUGCCAAAGUCCAAAGUGAGCUCCCUGUAACUAGGGUGUGCGUCUUUCCCAAGCUUACUCGCCCAUUUGAAAGCUAGUUAUAGAAACCAGCCUCUUUGGAGAGUUAGGGGUUUGUCCUUCUAGCUGUCCUGUCGCCAUGCCCUACUCACACGCACAACCAAGUCCAAACCGAGCGAACUCUGCAUCCAGCUGGCCCCGACGACUUCUGCUGCUGCUGCUGCAAGGUUUCCUGCUGUAUGCCACAGCAACUCAAAAGAGAAAAUGGAGAAGAAGACAGAAGCCCCAAAGAACCGGCAGGAGAAGACAAUGGAAGCAGAAGCCACAGAAAAGAGACACACACCUUGCACGCGUGGGCCUCCCUGUAAUGAGGACACGGGGUUUCCACUUAAGCUUCAUUCCCCCUUGAGGUGCCAGGUAAAAGGACCUCCCUGUAAACAGGGAUCAAGGUCCACCCCUUCCCAGCAAAAAGGCUUGAGGUGUCCGUUAGGUAGCUAAGGCUGAGGAACCCCCCUUUAAGAAGGGUAGCGGUCUCUCUGUGGCUUUCAGCUCUUUAGGAGCUAGGCUUUAAAAUGCCCCGUGCCAUUGACCUCUCCCUGUAAGAAGGGUUCAGGUCUCCCCUUUUUAGCUUCUCCUGGGCCGCUGGCACUUGCUGGGCAAAGAGACGGCCCUCUCCUGAGGGAAUGGAGGUCUCUCGUUUUCAGCGCUUUAGCCUCUGCUCCGUUGUAAUGCCCCUGGCUUGAGGACCACCCUGUAAGGAGGGUUUGGGCCUCCUUUGCCAUGCUACUUUCGCCACAGGUCACUUGGACAUGCCAGGCAAAAUGACCGCCCUGUAAGCAGGGUGUAAGGUCUUCUCCCUCUCCCUCUUAAGCCAGUGGGCCCUUUCCGUACCUGUGGCUGAGGGACCCCCCUUUAAGAAGGGUAGCGGUCUCUCUGUGGCUUUCAGCUCUUUAGGAGCUAAGCUUUAAAAUGCCCCGUACCAUUGACCUCUCCCUGUCAGAAGGGUUCAGGUGUCCCCUUUUUAGCUUCUCCUGGGCCGCUGGCACUUGCUGGGCAAAGAGACCACCCUCUCCUGAGGGAAUGGAGGUCUCUCCCUUUCUGUACUUCGGGGUUUGGCCCAGGCCAAAGGACCACCCUGUAAGGAGGGUUUGGGUCUCCUUUGCCCUGCUGCUUUCGCUACAGGUCACUUGGACAUGCCAGGCAAAAUGACCGCCCUGUAAGCAGGGUGUAAGGUCUGCUCCCUCUCCCUCUUAAGCCAGUGGGGCCUUUCGGUGCCUGUGGCUGAGGGACCCCCCUUUAAGAAGGGUAGCGGUCUUUGUGUGGCAUUCAGCUCGUUAGCAGCUAGGCUUUAAAAUUCCCUGUGCCGUUGACCUCUCCCUGUCAGAAGGGUUCAGGUGUCCCCUUUUUAGCUUCUCUUGGGCCGCUGGCACUUGCUGGGCAAAGAGACCACCCUCUCCUGAGGGGAUGGAGGUCUCUCCCUUUCUGCACUUCAGGGUUUCGCCCAGGCUAAAGGACCAUCCUGUAAGGAGGGUUUGGGUCUCCUUUGCCAUGCUGCAUUCGCCACAGGUCACUUGGACAUGCCAGGCAAAAUGACCGCCCUAUAAGCAGGGUGUAAGGUCUUCUCUCUCUCCCUCUUAAGUCAGUGGGGCCUUUCCGUGCCUGUGGCUGAGGGAUCCCGCUUUAAGAAGGGUUGAGCGUCUCUUUUCUCUUUCUCCUCGUAAACUGCUCUAGAAAUCAUUUCGACUUGGCUUUUUUGACAUUUGCAGUCAAAUCGUAUUUGUGACCUCUUGAAUUCAAGCCGGGGUCCCAUGGAACAUGGUGUGGCGAAGGGGCGGCUGUAAGGGGAUGGUGGAGGCCGUGAGAAAUUGGACGCUUUUUUGAAAAAAGCCAAGAAACCCCCCAAAACAAUCCAAAUCUUUCCAGGUCUGGAAAUGAACUGGUGAGGUGGGGGGCUCCUUUCAGCUCCUCACUUCCAUGCAAUCCUUCCUCAUUUCCUCUUGCCCUGCCCAACUGCCGCUGCCCCCCAAGCUCAGCUUGGACCCUUUCUUUUAUUCUGCGCAGGAAACAUACUGCUGGCUGUGGUAGUGUAAUUGUCUUGAUUGGGAAUGGUCCGUUCGUGGUGUCCCAAUUCCAGGCCUUUGCUCUCUUUGCUGGUAGACUGAGGCUAUAUUUUUGGACUGUCUUUGAAGGGAUUGAAAGAGCUGUGCUUCAUGACAGCUGUUGGUGAUCUGGUGGUAUAGCUACAGGUGUCGUGGUCUUGCAUCUUGCACGUGGGUGCUCCUAACCCUACUAACAGGACUGCGUAAGAAGUAAGGGAUGUCUGUUUUGGAAAAGGGUAGGGGGUUCACAGUUGUAAUGUUCUUGGUGGGGUAGACAGGUAAGUCGGGAAGGGUGUUGGUGAGGGAUGGAGGAUUCCUUGGUCAUGGGAGGCUCCCUUACCUGUUCAUUUCCAGACAUUGUCACCUUUGUGACUCCUUUCCCCUUGUUUCAAGGAAGUAGGAUUUUUGUGAAGGAAGGGUGACCGCCCUGUGAUCGGGGUUCGGGUCGCUUUCCUUUCCCCCUCUUUGCAUUGGCCCUCUUAAUGCCAAAGUCCAAAGUGAGCUCCCUGUAACUAGGGUGUGCGUCUUUCCCAAGCUUACUCGCCCAUUUGAAAGCUAGUUAUAGAAACCAGCCUCUUUGGAGAGUUAGGGGUUUGUCCUUCUAGCUGUCCUGUCGCCAUGCCCUACUCACACGCACAACCAAGUCCAAACCGAGCGAACUCUGCAUCCAGCUGGCCCCGACGACUUCUGCUGCUGCUGCUGCAAGGUUUCCUGCUGUAUGCCACAGCAACUCAAAAGAGAAAAUGGAGAAGAAGACAGAAGCCCCAAAGAACCGGCAGGAGAAGACAAUGGAAGCAGAAGCCACAGAAAAGAGACACACACCUUGCACGCGUGGGCCUCCCUGUAAUGAGGACACGGGGUUUCCACUUAAGCUUCAUUCCCCCUUGAGGUGCCAGGUAAAAGGACCUCCCUGUAAACAGGGAUCAAGGUCCACCCCUUCCCAGCAAAAAGGCUUGAGGUGUCCGUUAGGUAGCUAAGGCUGAGGAACCCCCCUUUAAGAAGGGUAGCGGUCUCUCUGUGGCUUUCAGCUCUUUAGGAGCUAGGCUUUAAAAUGCCCCGUGCCAUUGACCUCUCCCUGUAAGAAGGGUUCAGGUCUCCCCUUUUUAGCUUCUCCUGGGCCGCUGGCACUUGCUGGGCAAAGAGACGGCCCUCUCCUGAGGGAAUGGAGGUCUCUCGUUUUCAGCGCUUUAGCCUCUGCUCCGUUGUAAUGCCCCUGGCUUGAGGACCACCCUGUAAGGAGGGUUUGGGCCUCCUUUGCCAUGCUACUUUCGCCACAGGUCACUUGGACAUGCCAGGCAAAAUGACCGCCCUGUAAGCAGGGUGUAAGGUCUUCUCCCUCUCCCUCUUAAGCCAGUGGGCCCUUUCCGUACCUGUGGCUGAGGGACCCCCCUUUAAGAAGGGUAGCGGUCUCUCUGUGGCUUUCAGCUCUUUAGGAGCUAAGCUUUAAAAUGCCCCGUACCAUUGACCUCUCCCUGUCAGAAGGGUUCAGGUGUCCCCUUUUUAGCUUCUCCUGGGCCGCUGGCACUUGCUGGGCAAAGAGACCACCCUCUCCUGAGGGAAUGGAGGUCUCUCCCUUUCUGUACUUCGGGGUUUGGCCCAGGCCAAAGGACCACCCUGUAAGGAGGGUUUGGGUCUCCUUUGCCCUGCUGCUUUCGCUACAGGUCACUUGGACAUGCCAGGCAAAAUGACCGCCCUGUAAGCAGGGUGUAAGGUCUGCUCCCUCUCCCUCUUAAGCCAGUGGGGCCUUUCGGUGCCUGUGGCUGAGGGACCCCCCUUUAAGAAGGGUAGCGGUCUUUGUGUGGCAUUCAGCUCGUUAGCAGCUAGGCUUUAAAAUUCCCUGUGCCGUUGACCUCUCCCUGUCAGAAGGGUUCAGGUGUCCCCUUUUGAGCUUCUCUUGGGCCGCUGGCACUUGCAGGGCAAAGAGACCACCCUCUCCUGAGGGGAUGGAGGUCUCUCCCUUUCUGCACUUCAGGGUUUCGCCCAGGCUAAAGGACCAUCCUGUAAGGAGGGUUUGGGUCUCCUUUGCCAUGCUGCAUUCGCCACAGGUCACUUGGACAUGCCAGGCAAAAUGACCGCCCUGUAAGCAGGGUGUAAGGUCUUCUCCCUCUCCCUCUUAAGCCAGUGGGCCCUUUCCGUACCUGUGGCUGAGGGACCCCCCUUUAAGAAGGGUAGCGGUCUCUCUGUGGCUUUCAGCUCUUUAGGAGCUAAGCUUUAAAAUGCCCCGUACCAUUGACCUCUCCCUGUCAGAAGGGUUCAGGUGUCCCCUUUUUAGCUUCUCCUGGGCCGCUGGCACUUGCUGGGCAAAGAGACCACCCUCUCCUGAGGGAAUGGAGGUCUCUCCCUUUCUGUACUUCGGGGUUUGGCCCAGGCCAAAGGACCACCCUGUAAGGAGGGUUUGGGCCUCCUUUGCCAUGCUGCUUUCGCUACAGGUCACUUGGACGUGCCAGGCAAAAUGACCGCCCUGUAAGCAGGGUGUAAGGUCUGCUCCCUCUCCCUCUUAAGCCAGUGGGCCCUUUCCGUACCUGUGGCUGAGGGACCCCCCUUUAAGAAGGGUAGCGGUCUCUCUGUGGCUUUCAGCUCUUUAGGAGCUAAGCUUUAAAAUGCCCCGUACCAUUGACCUCUCCCUGUCAGAAGGGUUCAGGUGUCCCCUUUUUAGCUUCUCCUGGGCCGCUGGCACUUGCUGGGCAAAGAGACCACCCUCUCCUGAGGGAAUGGAGGUCUCUCCCUUUCUGUACUUCGGGGUUUGGCCCAGGCCAAAGGACCACCCUGUAAGGAGGGUUUGGGUCUCCUUUGCCCUGCUGCUUUCGCUACAGGUCACUUGGACAUGCCAGGCAAAAUGACCGCCCUGUAAGCAGGGUGUAAGGUCUGCUCCCUCUCCCUCUUAAGCCAGUGGGGCCUUUCGGUGCCUGUGGCUGAGGGACCCCCCCUUUAAGAAGGGUAGCGGUCUUUGUGUGGCAUUCAGCUCGUUAGCAGCUAGGCUUUAAAAUUCCCUGUGCCGUUGACCUCUCCCUGUCAGAAGGGUUCAGGUGUCCCCUUUUUAGCUUCUCUUGGGCCGCUGGCACUUGCUGGGCAAAGAGACCACCCUCUCCUGAGGGGAUGGAGGUCUCUCCCUUUCUGCACUUCAGGGUUUGGCCCAGGCUAAAGGACCAUCCUGUAAGGAGGGUUUGGGUCUCCUUUGCCAUGCUGCAUUCGCCACAGGUCACUUGGACAUGCCAGGCAAAAUGACCGCCCUGUAAGCAGGGUGUAAGGUCUUCUCCCUCUCCCUCUUAAGCCAGUGGGCCCUUUCCGUACCUGUGGCUGAGGGACCCCCCUUUAAGAAGGGUAGCGGUCUCUCUGUGGCUUUCAGCUCUUUAGGAGCUAAGCUUUAAAAUGCCCCGUACCAUUGACCUCUCCCUGUCAGAAGGGUUCAGGUGUCCCCUUUUUAGCUUCUCCUGGGCCGCUGGCACUUGCUGGGCAAAGAGACCACCCUCUCCUGAGGGAUUGGAGGUCUCUCCCUUUCUGUACUUCGGGGUUUGGCCCAGGCCAAAGGACCACCCUGUAAGGAGGGUUUGGCUCUCCUUUGCCCUGCUGCUUUCGCUACAGGUCACUUGGACAUGCCAGGCAAAAUGACCGCCCUGUAAGCAGGGUGUAAGGUCUGCUCCCUCUCCCUCUUAAGCCAGUGGGGCCUUUCGGUGCCUGUGGCUGAGGGACCCCCCUUUAAGAAGGGUAGCGGUCUUUGUGUGGCAUUCAGCUCGUUAGCAGCUAGGCUUUAAAAUUCCCUGUGCCGUUGACCUCUCCCUGUCAGAAGGGUUCAGGUGUCCCCUUUUUAGCUUCUCUUGGGCCGCUGGCACUUGCUGGGCAAAGAGACCACCCUCUCCUGAGGGGAUGGAGGUCUCUCCCUUUCUGCACUUCAGGGUUUGGCCCAGGCUAAAGGACCAUCCUGUAAGGAGGGUUUGGGUCUCCUUUGCCAUGCUGCAUUCGCCACAGGUCACUUGGACAUGCCAGGCAAAAUGACCGCCCUGUAAGCAGGGUGUAAGGUCUUCUCCCUCUCCCUCUUAAGCCAGUGGGCCCUUUCCGUACCUGUGGCUGAGGGACCCCCCUUUAAGAAGGGUAGCGGUCUCUCUGUGGCUUUCAGCUCUUUAGGAGCUAAGCUUUAAAAUGCCCCGUACCAUUGACCUCUCCCUGUCAGAAGGGUUCAGGUGUCCCCUUUUUAGCUUCUCCUGGGCCGCUGGCACUUGCUGGGCAAAGAGACCACCCUCUCCUGAGGGAAUGGAGGUCUCUCCCUUUCUGUACUUCGGGGUUUGGCCCAGGCCAAAGGACCACCCUGUAAGGAGGGUUUGGGUCUCCUUUGCCCUGCUGCUUUCGCUACAGGUCACUUGGACAUGCCAGGCAAAAUGACCGCCCUGUAAGCAGGGUGUAAGGUCUGCUCCCUCUCCCUCUUAAGCCAGUGGGGCCUUUCGGUGCCUGUGGCUGAGGGACCCCCCUUUAAGAAGGGUAGCGGUCUUUGUGUGGCAUUCAGCUCGUUAGCAGCUAGGCUUUAAAAUUCCCUGUGCCGUUGACCUCUCCCUGUCAGAAGGGUUCAGGUGUCCCCUUUUUAGCUUCUCUUGGGCCGCUGGCACUUGCAGGGCAAAGAGACCACCCUCUCCUGAGGGGAUGGAGGUCUCUCCCUUUCUGCACUUCAGGGUUUCGCCCAGGCUAAAGGACCAUCCUGUAAGGAGGGUUUGGGUCUCCUUUGCCAUGCUGCAUUCGCCACAGGUCACUUGGACAUGCCAGGCAAAAUGACCGCCCUAUAAGCAGGGUGUAAGGUCUUCUCUCUCUCCCUCUUAAGUCAGUGGGGCCUUUCCGUGCCUGUGGCUGAGGGAUCCCGCUUUAAGAAGGGUUGAGCGUCUCUUUUCUCUUUCUCCUCGUAAACUGCUCUAGAAAUCAUUUCGACUUGGCUUUUUUGACAUUUGCAGUCAAAUCGUAUUUGUGACCUCUUGAAUUCAAGCCGGGGUCCCAUGGAACAUGGUGUGGCGAAGGGGCGGCUGUAAGGGGAUGGUGGAGGCCGUGAGAAAUUGGACGCUUUUUUGAAAAAAGCCAAGAAACCCCCCAAAACAAUCCAAAUCUUUCCAGGUCUGGAAAUGAACUGGUGAGGUGGGGGGCUCCUUUCAGCUCCUCACUUCCAUGCAAUCCUUCCUCAUUUCCUCUUGCCCUGCCCAACUGCCGCUGCCCCCCAACCUCAGCUUGGACCCUUUCUUUUAUUCUGCGCAGGAAACAUACUGCUGGCUGUGGUAGUGUAAUUGUCUUGAUUGGGAAUGGUCCGUUCGUGGUGUCCCAAUUCCAGGCCUUUGCUCUCUUUGCUGGUAGACUGAGGCUAUAUUUUUGGACUGUCUUUGAAGGGAUUGAAAGAGCUGUGCUUCAUGACAGCUGUUGGUGAUCUGGUGGUAUAGCUACAGGUGUCGUGGUCUUGCAUCUUGCACGUGGGUGCUCCUAACCCUACUAACAGGACUGCGUAAGAAGUAAGGGAUGUCUGUUUUGGAAAAGGGUAGGGGGUUCACAGUUGUAAUGUUCUUGGUGGGGUAGACAGGUAAGUCGGGAAGGGUGUUGGUGAGGGAUGGAGGAUUCCUUGGUCAUGGGAGGCUCCCUUACCUGUUCAUUUCCAGACAUUGUCACCUUUGUGACUCCUUUCCCCUUGUUUCAAGGAAGUAGGAUUUUUGUGAAGGAAGGGUGACCGCCCUGUGAUCGGGGUUCGGGUCGCUUU
Dermochelys coriacea (leatherback sea turtle) is the source of this 9606-nucleotide long non-coding RNA. RefSeq lists it as uncharacterized. The record is from RefSeq and is a predicted model, not a curated record. The transcript has 7 exons. NCBI's taxonomy places the organism in Eukaryota, Metazoa, Chordata, Testudines, Dermochelyidae.